CUAUGUCUAGGUGUGUUAGAGUUCCCUAAGGACCUCAAAGAUCCCGGGAAGUGCUCAUACCUAGACCUUUCUCAAAUAAUAACUGAUUUAGGUGUAGUGCAGAAAUGCCAUCCCUGACAUGCCAGAGUUCAGAGAGAUCUCAAGGGUCUCAAGGCAGUACACACAUAAGAGGGGCAGGACCUAGUAUUCUAAGAGUAAGUGGAAGUACAUAAUGGUUUGAAAGAGUUUAAUAGAAAGGUUUUAGGACUGAAAAGAACUUCUGAAAACCAUUAGUGAUAAAAUAGUUUGAGGGAAAGUGUAAAGAAACAAUUUUUCAAUCAGAACACAAUAUAGAAAACUAACAAACUUUAGGAAAUAAUUUUGGCAAGCAGAUGUCACACAAGGGAAAGGGGAUUGGGAACAUAGAGAGUACACCUUAAUGGAGCACAUAGUCAGCAAGAUACAUAGAGUUUUGAGGGGGUUCUAUAGAACUAGUGGGUGGAAUGCAUGGCAUGUAGCAAAGAUCACAACAGAAACACGUUGAAGCCAUUCUAGGGAGAGUAAUUAACUUAGCAUGAGUGAGGCAGAAUAGGCAAAGACAGGUGAGGGCAUGCUAAUUACACAAAGGAAGAGUCUAAGCAUGCUCUAUAAAUAGAACUCAGUCAAACAGGCCAGUUACAUAUGUAGACAUGUCAAAUAAAAUAACAAACAAACAAGUAGAGUGGAAACAUGCUAGUCAUAGAUUUGAAUAGGCAGUAUUAGGCAUGCUGGGUAAGCAAUAAACAGGAGCAAGAAUAAACUCAGGCCAUAUGAACUAAAGCAGUAAGUAAACACAUAGGUUUUGAUUCUUAAAAUUAAUCAUAGGCAUACCUAGUUAAAGAAAGAAAACAAAAGAUUGUGAGGAAGGUAUUGUGCAGUUUCUAGCCUUGGAUUGAAGCCGACUGGAAUAGCAGGGAUCACAAGUAUCAAAGAGAGCAGAAAGAGAGCCUUUUUAGGGUGUAAAAAGUAGUAGUUUUGAACUAGUGUCCGUGUCAGAAGUGAGAAUAGGAAAGAGUUUAUAUAGAAAUCAAGAGUUAAACAAAAUAAGGUAAGAGAUCAAUUAAGUAUCAAUUAGGAAAAUUCAUGGAAUCAAUCGCAUGUAAAAUCAGUAAGUUUUCCCUUUAAUCAAGGGAUAAUGAAUAAAUGGUAAGAGCAUGAUAGGUAUUUAAGGAAAGGAAUUAAGUAAAGUUUGGAUAUAGAGUAGGUAAUUAGGGGUAAAUGAACAUAAGUUUCAAUUAAGGAAACAAUCAAUAAGAAUCAGCUAAUAACAAAUAUGGCAAGGGAAAAUCAAUUAAGGCAAGAAGUUCAAUCAAACCGAGUAGAGAGGUAAGAAUCAAAAGUUUUGUUAAGGAAAAAAGUUCAAAUCAAACCAGGAAAUAAGAGAUUUAGAAUAGUCAAGGGUUCAAUCAAAGAGAAAAUCAUGUAAAGAGUCAGCAAGUUUUGCAAACAAAAUAAGGUAUGAAAUGAAUAGUCGGGAUUCGACAUGAGACAAAUUGGUAAAUCAAGAAAACGACAUUGAUUUAAGGAGGAAGAUAUAGGUCUUAACAUGAAUAGUCAGAAUGAACAUAAACAUAUAGAAUCAGUAAAAGAGUUGAACUAAGAAACUCAGUAGAGGUAUAUUAGGAUAAGGAAACCAUGAGACAUUCAAAUGGCUAAAGAGAAAUCACAAGAACCAAGGCAAGAACACAGUCAAUACACCAGUACUUAGAAACCAAACAAAGAAUGUCAAAAAUAUUAGGGCUUUUAGUAUAAAAGAGGUAAGGUUAGAACAAACCUUACGAAAUCAGUCAAGACAUAUAUGAAGCAUAAGAUCAAACACUCAGAACAAUCAAACAUUUUUGAAAAAGAAAUUUUCGAGAAACCCUAGUUUAGAAAAAUGGGAAACCAUUCGAAAAUCAGAAGAUCCUUGUAAAAAUUAGAAGGUUUUUUGUAAAAAAUCAUAUGAAAUAGGUUCAAACAUCUCAGAUCUGAACAGAUCUAAGAAGUUCAGAAGAAAGAGAUUUGGGUUUCGAGAAGAACAAUCACGGAGAUGAAGAAGCAAACCUAGAAACCCAUGAUAUAGGAAUAUCUCACUUGGAAUCGAACUAGGACAGUCUGAAACAAGUGAGAAAUGGCCAUAGAUGCAAGCAAACUAACCCUGGUCCCUUGAGGACCCUGGAGAUGGUGAUACCAGUACAAGAGAGGCUACUAGAGGCUUGGGGGUGGUGAGUAAUCACCAUAUAUAUCCAUAAAUGAGCGAAGACGAGGUCCGAUUAGGGUUAGGUUUGAGAGCAUUUGAGAGAGGAGAGGAAUUUCAGGGCGGCGGACGGUGGAAAAUGAAAGGGUUUGGGGGGUCGUUUGGGACUAAAAAAGGAAGGGGUUGAUUGUGGUCGUUGAUCUCUAUGAUCAACGGCCGAGUUUAAAAGGGUUUGGGGCUGGAUCGGGUAUUAGGGUUUGGGUUGGGUAAGUUUAAAUUGAAAUUGGGCUGGUGUUGGGUUGAAUUAGGACCAAAAUUGAAAUACAAAUAGGCCAGAUUUUAAAUAGCCACUUUUAAUAACUACAUAAUUUAUAAAAAAUAAUAAAUGAGUUCCAAAAAGAUAUUUCGUGUAGUAAAAUGAUUUAAAAUAUUAUUUAAUAUUUUAAAAAUAUAAAAGACCAUUUUAUGCAUAAAUAAUGUAAUUAUACAUUAGUAAGGGCUAUUAUUGCAAAUAUGUGCAAUUUAGCUUAAAAAUGUACAAAAAAUGCACAAAAAUAUUUAAACACUAUGUUGGCAUGAAUAAUGAAUUUGGAUGGCUAAAUCAUCACAAAAGUAAUUUGAAGGAUAAUUAUUAGAUAUUUAUAUAAUAAAAAAAGGAGAAAUAAAUUGAUUUGGAGCUUUUAAAACUGUAGAAAAAUUAUAAAACAAAUACUUAUGCAUGCUUAUAACUGCAUAUGUACUAUUUUGAAAGUAUAUAUAUGUGCUUAAAAUAUGUGAGGAAAAAUUGGAUAUCAAUAGGGAGGGCAUAGAAACGGGCCUGACCACCACCUGAUCAUCCUCCCCCUCUAGGGCGACUCCUGGCUGACUGACCUCCACACUGAACUGACUGAGCGGGCGAGGAUGUAACUGGUGCUAAAGUCGAAGGAUGACUCCUCUGCUGAGAUGAACCUCCCGUGAGACAGGGACAAAACCUCUUAAUAUGACUCAAAUCUCCACACUCGAAGCAACCUCUCCCGGCAAAUGGCAGUGGGGACUAAAGGGAGCCCCGAACACCGGGAUGCCCACUAGAAGAACCUGGCAUAGAUGAGCCCUAAACUGAUGGUGCCUGAGUCGAACUCUGAGCUGGAAGGGCACUGAGAGAUGAGUGGCCGUGAUGUGAAUUGUGAGAACUGUGGCCAGAUGAUCCACCACGGUGGCCCGAACGAGCUGGCUGAGCAUGUCUGAAUGGACGACCUCUACCGUGCUGAGACUGACCUUCCAAACGAACACUCCCAAAACUACCAUAUCCCCGAGGCCUCUUGGCCUCCCUCUCAACUCGCUCCUGGCGGCAAACUGACACUAUCUCUCGAGCAAUGUCAACCACUUCCUCAAAAGAAUCACCAGACACCCUUUCUCUGGUCACAAGAAUCCAUAGCUGAUAAGUGAGGCCAUCCACGAAUCUCCUGAUCCUCUCCCUGUCUGUAGGAACCAACCAAAUAACAUGACGGGCUAACUCAGAAAACCUCAUCUCAUAUUGCGUCAUAGUCAUAUAAUCUUAACGCAACUGCUCGAACUAUCUGCGCAGCUCCUCUCUACGAGAUUGCAGUACAUACUUCUCCAGGAAGAGAGUGGAGAAUUUCUGCCAGGUAAGGGGUGCUGCACCAAUAGGCCUACGCCUCUCAUAAGCCUCCCGCUAAGUAAAUGCAGCUCCAGAAAACUGAAAAGUAGUAAAUGAGACCCCACUAUUCUCCAGAAUACUCGCGGUACGUAACAUCCUCUGACACUUGUCCAAGUAACCCUGGGCAUCCUCGCCAUCUACACCACUGAAAGUCGGAGGCUGAAGUCUACCAAACCUCUCCAAUCGAUGCAGCUCGUCAUCAGGCAUAACUGGAACCACAUAAUCCUGAGCAGGUGCAACCGGCUGGGCUGGUGGUGCCUCUGGUGUCUGGAGUCCCUGCACAACCUGCUCAGGUGUAAAAGCGGUGGUAGUCUGAGUGCCUCCCCCAAUCUGAGAAGUAGCAAUUGUAGUAGUAACUGCGACCGCCUAAGCAAGACUGGUGCACACGGUCAGAAUCUGAGUCAAGGUCUCCUAGAGACCCGAAAUAACAAUAGGCAUAGUCGGUGCCUGAACUGGUACUGUUGGAGCAUCCCCCGCUAGAGCCUGAUCAUGAACUGGGGCGGCUGGUGGAUCUGCAGGUGCCGCCCUAGCUACUGUACGGGAUACACCCCUUCCCCUACCACGGCCUCGACCGCGACCUCGACCUUUAGUGGCCCCAACUGGUGGUACUGGUGGUCGUCCGUCCUGACCGGUAGCACAUGUCCUCACUAUCGGUUAGAGAAUAGAAUAACAGAAUUUAGUAUUAGAAUCAACAAAUUCAUACAACAAGAAUUCAAGAAUGUGAAGUUUUUCCUAAAGCUUCUGUAGCCUCCCGAAGAUAAGUACAGACGUCUCUGUACCGAUCCACGAGACUCUACUAAACCUGUUCAUGACCCGUGAGACCUAUGUAACCAAGGCUCUAAUACCAACUUGUCACGACCCCAAAACGAGUCGGUCGUGAUGGCGACUAUCGUGAAACUAGGCCAGCCAACUCAUUUCCAAAACAAACUACAUUUUCAUUUAAAACAUGAGAAAAACCAUUUUUCAACAUAAAUCCGAUAAAGAUAUAAAAAUCCAGUUUAACAAAGUGGAAAAAAUACAAGCCCGACCUCGGGUGUCACUAAGUCAUGAGAAAAAAAACUACAACUGUUCGAAAUAAACAAGACUAACAUAGUCUGAGAAUAUCCAAGAAAUACACUAAGAGGAAGAUAAGGAAGGAGAAGGCGAAACUACGAUCGCCAGGUAGAUACCUCGCUAUCUCCAAGGAAAGUCUACAACUGAUAUGAUCAGCAACCCGCUACCAUAGCCCGAGAUACCUAGAUAUGCACACAAGGUGCAGGGGGUAACGUGAGUACACCAACUCAGUAAGUAAUAAGUCCAAACUAUUGACUGACAGGUAGUGACGAGCCAAACCUCAAUAGGUAAUACAAUUAACUGUACAGAAAGUAGACAUGCUUGCAGUUCAAGUAAAAACUCAACAGUAAAUAAUACAGUCUGAACAAUACGGAGUAUAAAACUCAGGAAAAUCUCUAUGAACCAAUGCACAGAUAGCAUGAUCAAUGUUCCGUGUACCUCCACUCACAAGUGCUAAACCACUCAGUACUAUAUAUGGCAUGUUAUCCAUCCCGGAAUAUAUAUAUAUUACUGACCGCAGUCAUCCAUUAAUGAGGAAGGCCAUUCCAUCCCUAUAGAGAAGAUCCAUCUCCAGGUAUAAAUACUUCGGAGAAGAUCCAUGUCCAGGGAAGAUCCAUCCCUCAAUAUCAUCAACUGCGUUCACUGGGGGUGUGUUACAGACUCUGGAGGGGCUCAUAUAGCCCAAGUGCUAUCAUAAUCAUCAACCUAACUGCUGCGGCAUGUAGCCCGAUCCCAUAUACUGUCACUCACAACCAAUCUCUCGGCCUCACUCAGUCAUCACUCUCCAGUCUCACACACACAGGCUCACAAUGUCAUGAUACUAGCCCAAACAAUGAUAUGAUUUGCCAAAUAACAAUAAUCGGACUGAGGCAUGAUAUAUAAUGCAUGAAUAAGGCUGAGUACAUAAUGUCAAUGAAGAUAAUGAUAUGACAACAAGAAAUGACCUCUCAGGUCUCAAUAGUAUCGGCAUGAAGCCCUAAUAGGAUAUCUAGCAUGUUUUCACAGCAUAUUUACUAAAUCACAUGAUAGAAACACGGAUAUCAACAAGAAAGAGUUACUAAGCGGAGCCAUGGAAUGAUCCAUGCCACAUUUCGCAUGGUGCAGGCCCACACGCCCGUCACUUGGCAUUUGCGUCACCUCAAUAGUAAUCAUAGAACAUAGAGUUCAGGGUUUCGAACCCUUAGAACCAAGUUUGGAAAUGUUACUUACCUCAAGUCAAGCCAAACUCUAGCCCGCGAUGCCCUUGCCUCUCGAUUCGGCCUACAAAUGCUCGCAAUCAAACCAAAAUCAAAACCAUAACAUCAACAUAUGCUAAGGGAACAAAACCCAUGCAAAAAUAAUCAAAUUACAUAAAAAAUCUUGAAAUUCCUCAAACCCGACCCCCGGGCCCACAUCUCGGAAUUCGAUAAAAAUCAAAUCAAUAGAAUCCUUAUCCUCCCACGAGUUCAUACAUAUCAAGAACAUCAAAAUCGGGCCACAAAUGGCCCCUUAAAUCCCCAAUUUACACUCUCCAAUUUCAAGCCCUAAUUCCCCAAUUUUUUGCUUUAAAUCCCACUAAUUUUAUGUCUAAUUAGUUAGAAAUCACCAUAGAAUCGAGUAUUGAGUUCAAAAACCUUACCUUCAAGUGUUUUUCUUCGAAUCCCUCUUCAACCCCUCUCAGAAAUCUUCAAAACCGUCCAACAAUGGUGAGAAAAUGGCCUAAAAGUCGCGAAGAUGGCUUUAUAUACAUUCUGCCCAGGUGAUUUUCCUUAAUCGCGAUCGCGGAAAGACCAUCGCGAUCGUGAAGAACAAAUUUUGCUGGCUCCAGAAAUAACUCUACGCGAACGCGAUAUUCUACCCCUUACACCUAUGUGAUCGCGGACCACUAAACGCUUUCGCGAACAACAAAUGUGUGGCCCCAGCUUUGGUCCACUUAACCUUAUGCGAACGUGACUUAACCCACGCGUUCGCGAUGCUUCACCUGAUCAACUAUCGCGAUCGUAGCCCUUAAUAUAUGAACGCAAAGAACAAACUUGACUGCCUACACAAAUUCUAUACGCAAUCGCGAGCCUCCUCACGUGACCGCGAAGAAGGAACCUCUACAACAGAAUAGAAGAAAAAAAUCUGCAACUCUCAAAACUACGAACUUGGUCCGAUAACCUCCCGAAACUCACCCAAGGCCCUCGGGACCUCAAUCAAACAUGAAAACACAUCCCAUAACAUCAUUCAAACUUAGACAAGCCUUCGAAUCACUCAAAACAACACUAAAACACCAAAUCAACCUCGGAUUCAAGCCUAAAAACUUAGAAACUGUCAAAUUCCACAAACGACGCCGAAACCUAUCAAAUCAACUACGAAUGACCUGAUAUUUUGCACGCACAUCACAAAUGACACUACGAACCUACUCCAAUUUCCGGAAUCCCAUUCCGACCCCGAUAUCAAGAUUUUCACUACCAACCGGAAAACGCUAAAAUUUUAAUUUCGCCAAUUCAAGCCUAAAUCCACCACGGACCUCCAAAUUACAUUCCGGACACGCUCCUAAGUCCCAUAACACUACAAAACUACGCCCAGCCCGAACCAAUCAACACGAUACGAUGAAAUGUAGCUAAACAAUACAUAAGAAAGUAAAACUGGGGGAAACAGAGCGGUAACUCAUGAAACGACUGGCCGGGUCGUUACAAUCCUAAUGCUUCUUACCUGCUAUGUGUGCAUUUAUUUAUUUUGUCUUGUUUGUUGACCAGCUAAGGAAAUAAAAUCAACAAAAAAACUAAGAGUGAGGUAGGAUAGAAAUUUCACCCGGUUCUGAAAACUCUGUCAUUUGAAGAUGCCUCGAAACUCUGCCAAAAUUAUUGGAAAAAAAACGAGAAAAAGAAAGUGUAUUUCAAAAAAAAAUUUAGUCAAUAUCAUGUUUUUCCAGUUAUGUCAAAGUUGGCCGAACUACGCUGGUCUGAUUCUCACUGGAUGUGAGAUACGUAGGCAAACUUCAUCGGUUCCGGCUCCCAAUUUUCAAAAAUCCAAAACAAAAUUUUCCUUUAAUUCCUUCUUUAGAAGUCUUUCUUUAGAAAAUCACGAAUAAAAAAAAUUUAAAACCAAAAAUAUUUUCUUUCAUUUUAGAAGUCUUUCAUUCGAAAAGAAAAUCAAAUCAAAAAAAAUAUUUUCUACCUUUUUUUAGAAGUCUUUUUUCCAAAAAUAAAAAAAAAACAAAAAAAUCAAAAAUCCAAAAAAUAUUUUAUUUCUUUCAAAAAAUUCCAAAACAAAACCUAAAUCAAAAAUCCAAAAAUAUUUUCAUUAUUCUUUCGAAAAUUGAAAAGAAAAUUCAAAAUUCAAAAAUGUUUCCUUUUUUCUUUAGAAGUAUUUCUUUCAUAAAUUUAAAAUAAAAGUCCAAAAAUCCAAAAAUAUUUCCUUUCUUCUUUAGAAGUUUUUCUUUCAAAAUCUCAAAAAAAAUUCAAAAUUAAAAAAAAUGAAAAAUAUUUUCUUUCUUCUUUAGAAGUCUUUCUUUUCAAAAAUUCUCAAAAAAAAAACAUCUAAAUCCAAAAAUAUUUUCUUUCUUCUUUCUAAGUCUUUCUUCCGAAAAUUAAAAAGACAAAAAAAAUGCAAAAUCCAAAAAAAAGAGUUAGUUUAUUUACUUUAUUUCUGAUUUUCCCGAACUAUGCAAGAUCUGAUUCAUGUUCCCACAUGAUACGUAGGCAACCUAUAUCAGGUUCGAUCGAAUCAUUUAAAAAAAAUAAAAAAAAGAGAGAAAAAGGGAAGAAAAUUUCUUAAAAAACAAGAGAGUGACCAUUCUAACAUGUUGUUUGUUUUGAAUUGUGAAGAAAGUUUGAGGUAGUUGGUUUGUGGUAAACUGCAACACAUCCAUAAUUCACAAGGUCCAAGAGAAAAAUGUCAACGAGAACUGAUAUUGAAGUUGUUACGAGCGGUCAAGAGAUUCGGGGUCAGAGGGUUCAACAAGAGUCUACUGUGGUUGAGGAAAAUAGAGUACUGAAGCAGAAAAUGAAUGAAAUGUGUCAAGCAUGGGCCAAUGGCCAAGGACUACCCCUUUCUAUUCAUGGUUUUCCAGAGUUCACAUCCAUCUCAACUACUACCACUCCAGUUUCCUUGUCUAAUCAAUUCUAUCCAUCUGGGUUCAGUCUUUAUCCAACUAUACGACUAUAGUUGAAACUUUUGUUGUGUGCUCCCAAAGUAUGCCAUUGAUAACUAAUCAGACAGCCACUUGCUAUUAUGCCCGUCUUCACUAUCCCACAGCCAACGGUGGUGCAGAAGAAAGCUCAUGAGUCACAAUUUGCUACCCAACAAGAACAAUACCACUCUCCUGAGUACCACUCCUGCCUAUUUGAUCUUCCUACAAAGAUUUAUAAGCCUUCCCGAAAGAUGGCACAUGAAGAAAUGACCCAAAGAGUGAAAAGCUUAGAACAAUAGUUCAAAAACAUGCAAGGGUUGGUAGGUCAGAAGAGUAUUGCCUUCAAGGAUCUAUGUAUAUUACCCGAUGUUCGUCUGCCAUUUGGUUUCAAGACUCCAAAAUUUAAAAAGUAUGAUGGACAUGGAGACCCCAUAGACUAUUUGAAAAGGUAUUGGAAUCAGUUAAGAGGUGCGGGAGGAAAUGAAGAAUUACUAAUGGCUUAUUUUGGGAAAAGCCUUACGAGGGUAGCCUCUGAAUGGUUUAUUGAUCAAGACACUUCUCAAUGGCAUGUCUGGAUGACAUGGACUGGGCCUUUGUCAGACAGUUCCAAUAUAACAUCGACAUCGACCCAAACCGUAAUUCCCUUUCAAACCUAAAGAAGAAACCAACUGAAAGUUUUAGGGAAUAUGCCAUUAAAUGGAGAGAGCAAGCAGUUAGAGUUAAGCCACCCAUGGAUGACCACGAGAUCAUCACUGUCUUCCUUCAGGCUCAAGAGCCAGAUUAUUUUCAAAACAUGAUGUCUGCAGUAGGCAAAUCCUUCUCAGAAGCAAUCAAAAUUGGAGAAAUGGUUGAGAACGACCUUAAGACAUGCAGGAUUAUAAGUCAAGAAGUUCUCAAAGCCACAACUCAGGUUGUCCAGAUUGAAUCUGAUAAUUUUAGUGACACGAAUGAGAAGGAUGAAGAAACCAUGAUGACAUCAGGGUCGAGAAGAGGUCCCAAGAGAACAUCUCAAAGGGAUGAGCAGCCUCAUCAGGUUUCCGAUGAUUCCCCUGAGCACUACUAUCCACCUCAGAACCCCCAAUACUUUGUUGCUCUACCUCAGUAUGUUGUUCAGCCACCAAGACACCCCAGAAGGCGAGCACCAGUGCCGCAACAUCUCCACCAGCCUCCAAAAAAAUUUUCAAAUGCCCUAUAACCCACAUCCAAGCCAGGGGUAUAUAGGGGAACAAAGGUUGAAAGAUAAUUUUACACCAAUAGGGGAGUCCUAUGCAAGCUUAUUUAAGAAAUUACAUCAGUAUGGCAUGAUUGCACCCAUUCCUUCAAGUUAUGUCGACCCACGUGCAAGAAGCUUUGACCUUUCUAAAAAGUGUGAAUACCAUUCCAAUGCCCAGGGGAACGAUGUUGAAAGAAUUCGGGAUUUGAAAAGAGAAAUAGAAAGGAUGAUCCAGGAAAAACUAAUUGAAACUGGAGAAGGCCCUGGUGAUUUCUGAUGAGCAAUUUUGUGGCUAAAUUUCAAGCUUAGCAAUUGAAAAGUCAUUCCCUCCUCACCAGGAAGGAAUCUUGGUAGCUUGUUUUGAUGUUUUUUCUAUUAUCUGGGUUAUUUUAGGGUUGUGAUCGAGAUUUUAUUUAUUCUAUUAAGUCAAAUACUUCUAUCCCUCCAUUAUGUUUGUGUGAGUCUUGUCUGUUUGUUCUGUUGUUAUUUUCAUUAUCUGGGUUAUUUUAGGGGUGUAACUCGGAUUUUAGGUUGUUUGUCUUAUUGUUAAACCCUUCAAAUCAAUGUAAAUAUCGGCUUUGAGGAAGAACUAAUUGAAGUUUGGUGGAAAGUUUGAGAUUAAUGGACGGAAAAUGUUCUUCAACCACGACAUAGAGACAUACAUGCUCAUCAAUGUCGUGAUUUUGAAGGGCUAACAUGAUUGGUAUUCUCGAGGCUAGGAGGCCCUUUUUCUGCUACCCAAACACUUUAUACCCUUUGUUACCUCUUUUGAGCUUGUAUUAUUUUCUUUGACCACUCUCUUUUGGAAUCAAGUUUAGAGUAAAAAAAAAGGUCUAUGCUUCCAGUGUACAAACUAGGGCAACUUUUAGAAAGUUCAAACAAAAGAAGAAAAAAACGAAGAAGAAAAGAAUAGUCAAAGGUCCAUUCCCCCAGAAAAUAGAAGUUGGGGCAAUUUAUUUUGUAAAAAAGAAAGAAAAAAAGAAACAGAAAGAAAGAUGAAAAAAUAGUUUAGGUCAGAUGCUUGAACUACGUUUGACAUGAUUUCUUAAAAAAAGAUACGUAGGCAGCCUUAUACAGUUCGGUUAAACCAUAUAAGAAUUCAUAAAAAAAAUCAAUAUCUAAAACUGGGGCAUGAGUUUGUUUUAAUUUUUGAAAGAGUAGAUUCCAAGAGUUGUAAGUGUACAACCCAUCAUAUUGAGUCUACUUCGAGCCUUCAUGCCGUCCUUUCUUUCCAACCCUAUCCAAAAACCUUCCAAAUAAAGACCUCAUUAUCAGCCUCCAAGAAUACUAAGAGAUGCAUGCAAUGAGCAACAAUUGUCAUACGACAUAGAACACUGUCAAGUUGCUCACACAAGAAAAAAGAAGGGGAAAGAAAAAGAAAAAGAAAAAAAAAACAAGAGAGUCUUACAAGUGAAAACCCUCAUGGGCACUCGUAAGANNNNNNNNNNNNNNNNNNNNNNNNNNNNNNNNNNNNNNNNNNNNNNNNNNNNNNNNNNNNNNNNNNNNNNNNNNNNNNNNNNNNNNNNNNNNNNNNNNNNNNNNNNNNNNNNNNNNNNNNNNNNNNNNNNNNNNNNNNNNNNNNNNNNNNNNNNNNNNNNNNNNNNNNNNNNNNNNNNNNNNNNNNNNNNNNNNNNNNNNNNNNNNNNNNNNNNNNNNNNNNNNNNNNNNNNNNNNNNNNNNNNNNNNNNNNNNNNNNNNNNNNNNNNNNNNNNNNNNNNNNNNNNNNNNNNNNNNNNNNNNNNNNNNNNNNNNNNNNNNNNNNNNNNNNNNNNNNNNNNNNNNNNNNNNNNNNNNNNNNNNNNNNNNNNNNNNNNNNNNNNNNNNNNNNNNNNNNNNNNNNNNNNNNNNNNNNNNNNNNNNNNNNNNNNNNNNNNNNNNNNNNNNNNNNNNNNNNNNNNNNNNNNNNNNNNNNNNNNNNNNNNNNNNNNNNNNNNNNNNNNNNNNNNNNNNNNNNNNNNNNNNNNNNNNNNNNNNNNNNNNNNNNNNNNNNNNNNNNNNNNNNNNNNNNNNNNNNNNNNNNNNNNNNNNNNNNNNNNNNNNNNNNNNNNNNNNNNNNNNNNNNNNNNNNNNNNNNNNNNNNNNNNNNNNNNNNNNNNNNNNNNNNNNNNNNNNNNNNNNNNNNNNNNNNNNNNNNNNNNNNNNNNNNNNNNNNNNNNNNNNNNNNNNNNNNNNNNNNNNNNNNNNNNNNNNNNNNNNNNNNNNNNNNNNNNNNNNNNNNNNNNNNNNNNNNNNNNNNNNNNNNNNNNNNNNNNNNNNNNNNNNNNNNNNNNNNNNNNNNNNNNNNNNNNNNNNNNNNNNNNNNNNNNNNNNNNNNNNNNNNNNNNNNNNNNNNNNNNNNNNNNNNNNNNNNNNNNNNNNNNNNNNNNNNNNNNNNNNNNNNNNNNNNNNNNNNNNNNNNNNNNNNNNNNNNNNNNNNNNNNNNNNNNNNNNNNNNNNNNNNNNNNNNNNNNNNNNNNNNNNNNNNNNNNNNNNNNNNNNNNNNNCCAAAUAAAGACCUCAUUAUCAGCCUCCAAGAAUACUAAGAGAUGCAUGCAAUGAGCAACAAUUGUCAUACGACAUAGAACACUGUCAAGUUGCUCACACAAGAAAAAAGAGGGGAAAGAAAAAGAAAAAGAAAAAAAAAACAAGAGAGUCUUACAAGUGAAAACCCUCAUGGGCACUGUAAGACGACGGUAAAUAGAGAUAAAAUAAAUAAGAGAGACUCGUUGGUGAAAAUUCCUCGGGGCACCACUAGUCGAAAGUGAGUCGUAAAGCUGAUGUAAAGGAUUGGCACGAACAAGCCCGACUUCAAAUGUCAUAAGAAUAAUAAAAGGGAAGAUUGGAUCAGUUUGAUAGAUUAGGCGUUAAGUCCAAAAUGCAUGUCAUGAUCAUUAAGGCUAGUUAGUGCAAAAUUAAAAAACAAAAACAAAAACUCUUCCCUCUUUCCUUCAUAUCAGGGGAAUUUCUUACUGAUACUGUUUCUUUGUAUCAUUGUGUGCCUUCACUCUGAGUCCGUCCUUGUCAAAACAAGCAAGAAAAGAUUUCAAAAUCUGCUACCAGUUUUUUAGUUGCACAAAAUAAAUUUGGCCAGCAUACUCAGUUGUUACUGUCAAUAUGCCUUGAGGAUUCAUGCAAAGACUCCCCCAAAAGACUCUUGUCAGCCUGCUUCGCGCAAGAAAACAUAACUUAUGAUUCUCUCUGACAGACAAAUUGCUCAAAAAACAGGAAGUCAUUCAAGAUAUCAGAAAAGGUUACCUAAGCAAAGAUAUCCAGUUGGGAUAAGGCUGAUUGAGCCACAAAUACAAAUGGUACUGGGAGUGAAACAAUCAGGGUUAAUGCGGAAUAAAAGUCUAUUGAAAUCGACCCAAGCUGAUUGAGCAAAAGCCAAGCUACACAAGACUCAAGGCCACAAACUGCACAUCACUUUCAAAACUGACGAAAUUUUCUUUGUUUGAAACAACAAUAAAGCAGUGCAAGAAAAGUGGUUCAAAAAAGAAAAGAAGAGAAGAGAAGAGCCGACAAAGGGACGUUUCUCAAAUCUUUGCCUUUAUCUAUCUUGCUAGUGUGCAUAAACUUUUUCCAUUGCUCUUCACAUUUUUUCUCCUAGGAUAAAAGUCCUAGUCUGAUGGAUUUUCCUCCCAAUAGAAGUCUUAGAUUGAUGAAUCUUUCUCUUAAGAUUAAAAAAAACCUAGUCUGAUGAAUUUUUCUCCUAGGAUAAACGUCUUAGUCUGAUGAAUCUUUCUCCUAAGAUAAGAAACCUAGUCUGAUAAAUUUUCUCCUAGGAUAGAAGUCUUAGUCUGAUGAAUCUUUCUCCUAAGAUAACAAAAAAAACCCUAGUCUGAUGAAUAUUUCUCCUAGGAUAGAUGUCUUAGUCUGACGAAUUUUUCUCCUAAGAUAAGAAAACCUAGUCUGAUCAACUUUCUCAUAAGAUCAAAAUCUUGGUCUAAUAAAUAUUUCUCCUAAGAUAGAAAACCUAGUCUGAUGAAUUUUCUCCUAGGAUCAAAAUUUUAGUCUGAUGAAUCUUUCUCCUAAGAUAAAAAAAAGUCUGUUGAAUUUUCUCCUAGGAUAAAUGUCUUAGUUUGAUGAAUCUUUCUCCAAAGAUAAGAAACCUAAUCUGAUGAAUCUCUAUCCUAGGAUAGAAAUCUUAGUCUGAUGAAUCUUUCUCCUAAGAUAACAAAAAAAAGCCUAGUCUGAUGAAUUUUCUCCUAGGAUAGAAAUCUUAGUCUGAUGAAUCAUUCUCCUAAGACAGAAAACCUAGUUUGAUGAAUUCUCUCCUAGGAUAGAAAUCUUAGUCUAAUGUAUCUUUCUUCUGAGAUAAAAAAAAAAUAAGUCUGAUGAAUUUUCUCUUAGGAUAGAAAUCUUAGUUUGAUGAAUCUUUCUCCUAAGAUAGAAAACCUAGUCUGAUGAAUUUUCUCCUAUGAUAGAAAUCUUAGUCUGAUGAAUCUUUCUCCUAAGAUAAAAUAACCUAGUUUGACGAAUUUUCUCUUAGGAUAAUUAAGGGAAAAAAAGAGGAAGUCUGGAUUUAAAAAAAGUCAUUUGUUCAUGCCUCAGAAAAUAAGCGUUGGGCAAUUUGUUUAAAAGAAUGAUUUUCUCAAAAAAAAAAAAAAAAUCCUUCUUGGUUCAUUUUAGCAUAGGUAUACAAUUCAGUAGUCUUAUUUUCCAACAUAGAGUCUCCACUCCCUAGUUAAUUUUACUUUUAGACACAAGGUCUCCACUCCUUAGUCGCUUUUCCAAUAUAGGAUGUCCACUCCCUAGUUUUUAUUUUAGACAUAGGGUCUCCACUCCCUAAUCUUCUUUUUCAACAUAGGGUCUCCACUCCCUAGUUGAUAUUAUUUUAGACAUAGGGUCUCCAUUUCCCAGUCUCCUUUCCAACAUAGAAUCCCCACUCCCUAGUUUAUUUGAUCUUAAAUGCAGGGUACACCACUCCCUGAUAUCAUUGCCAAUAUAGGGUAUACCAUUCUCGGGCCACAUUUUCCCAACAUAAGAUUCAUCAAUCCUUAGUUGAGACAUCUUUUUGACAAUAAAAGAGCACCAUAAAAAUAUUAUCAUGAUCUUUUUGGGGUACACCAUCCCCAACCUUUUAUUGCUUUUAAUAAUGAAGUAGUAUGGAGUUUUGUUACAAAUUCACGAAUUUUUCCUAAGUGAAAACUGGGGCAGAGAAAUUUCAUUCGUUCGUUUGUUUUGGUGUCUGAGCAGGUUUUUAUCUCGAGGCACAAGGUUCUAGAUGACCAAAGAAAGAAGUCUCAAUCCAGAACAAAAGAAAAGAAAAAGAAACGAAUCCAAAAUGCAGAAGUAGAUGAAAGAUGUGAACUGCUCAAGACAUGGCUGAAGUCACGAGCAUUGUAUGUCCGGUUUUGAUCCAAAGAAGCCGGGGAAUAAUGAAUCAACACCCGCAGCUAGCAAACAUCAAGGUUCAAAUCAAAAAUCUACAUGAAGCACCAUUCAAGACUCAAGAUUAAGCUUCAGAAGACUUAUAGAUAGGAAUCUUGUAACUCAUAGCUAAUAGACUUGUUUAGUUCCUUUAGAUUUUGAUGUAAUAACAAGGCCACAGACCAGAGCCUUGACGGAACCUCACUUGACUCUGCAACUCAUUAUUCCAUUUUUCUCCUAAACCUACAGUGACCUGAUUUAUUUAUAGCCAAGGAUAUGUAGGCAACCUCCGAAACAAGGUUCGGUAAAACUUUCUCAAAGCGCUUCCAAUGGAGUAUCCAAACGGCCAAAAAUUGCUCGUAAUUUCUCACUUUAUCUUUGCCAAAAAUUCUUCAUGUUCUCGAGCAAAGAGGAGCAACUCUGAGCACCUAAUUUUUGCCCCACAUGGAAAUUACUCCUAAAAAAUAUUUAGUAAAUAAAUAGCCUAGCCACACAAAAAAUGGAAUUUAAAUUAAAUUUUAGUCUAAAGUGGCUAUAAGAAUGAGAAAAGAGGGCUGUCCAAAUUGGGCCAAAAUCAGUGGCCCAGUAUCUCAAAUUCCGCCCCAAACCUGCCAGCCUAUUCCAUCUGACCCGGACCGGCCCAACCCCCUCUUUAAAAACCUCACCUUGAGACCUAAUCAGAUUCCCCCUAUCUCCCUAACCCUAGCCGCAUCUCCUCCUUCUUGAAUCUCUCACACACACAGCAGCCACACAUAGAGAACAACUAGCCACCCCCACUCACCUCUCAAUACCCAGCAACCACCCUUCAACUCCUCCUCUCACCAAACCAUCAGCAGACCGCCACCAAACUGCCAGAAAUCCAGCAACCACAACGAACCAGUUUCACAUCUGCAAAAAACCAUUUUCAUCACCUUGAAAGCUUCCAAAAUCGUCCUCCCUCAAAGCACGUUGUUCCAGAUCUGGAAAUACCAUAAAUCACCUCAAGCUUCAGCUCUAAACCGGGCAAAAUCAACCAUGAAAUAGCUAGAGUUUAGAUCCUAAAAUAGUUCAAAGAAGCAGCGAAAAUACAGCUACGUCAUGCGACAAAAACGCAUCAGCUACUGCUUGAUUCUGCCUCAAAAAGCCCGGCCUCAAACCACCUGUAAGCCAACCGCAAACACAAACUCAACAGCCGGCUUUCACCAUCGUUAAAACGUAGUCGAAGUUUGAGGCCUGAAAGUCCGUUUAAGUCGAGGAUGUCGUUUGAGUUACUGGACCACUGGUUCUGUUUCUUCACUGUAAUUCCACGUUUGAAAUUAUUGAUUAAUGUGAAAGGAAAUUUUUCUCAUUAAGGUUCGUUUUUCUUAAUUUUCAUUCUGUUCUCAUCUCGUUACAGUAGCUUGAAGAGUGUUUGGCAUGACUUUUUAACUUUCUUUAUUUUAUUUUCUUUUCUUUCAAUUAGCAUAUCUUAGUUUCCAUUACGCACUUUAAUUAGUUUAUCUAUUUUGUGAUGUAUGUGACCUCUGUUCUUGAAUGAAUGUAUUAAAACUGUUAGAUGAAUUAACUUAGCAAGUCAGUGGUUCGUGCUAGAAUUUUUAAUGAGCUAAUGAAAUUUAUUUUUUAAUAAUAAGGAUACUUCCAUACUUCCAUCACUUGCAUUAGGGAAUUAGCAAAGAAGAGGCAAUCUAAUGUUAUGAAUGUACACUGACUAGGAUGCCUGUUGGCUUUGUACGAGAGUUUAAAGUUGGUUUAGAGGUGUUUUGGUAUUGGUUUGAACAAUAAAUUUAGAUUGGAUGAGAUUAACAAGAAUUAAAAAGUAUCUUUGGGUUAUUUGUUUAGUAGCUGCAUUGAAUGUGAUAGGAGCUUUAGGCACACCCUUAAUUAAUCGAAUAUUGUGGUUAUGUACACAGUCGCAUGACAUAAUUGUGAUUUUUCAAGUUAAAGGCAAAGUAUGUGCGCGCGCAACUUUUGUAAAUAAUCUUAGUAAUAAUAAUUUAUUAUUAAUUGUGUACACGUUCGCGUGGCAUGAGUACAAUUUAAAAAAUGAAUAUUCAUAGAAAAUGAGUUAGCGCGACUUAAUCCAUUGUCGCGAUUGUGUAUACAUAAUGCGUGAGAUAAUUGCGAUUUUUCAAAAUAAAUCAAGGUACGCGUUCGCGCGAUUUUUGCCAAGCUUUCUUAAAUAAUUAAGUGUUGUUAAUUGUGUAUACGUACGCGUGUCAUGAUUCUUGACACGCCAAACAAAAAGAGUAUACGUACGCGUGACUCAUUUUUCAAGAUAAUUCCAUAAUUACGAAUAAUCGAGUAAUUAGAAGCAGUAAAAGGUAAAAUGCACGUAGGUUCUAAAACACGUAAUCAAACAUUUUAAUUAAACCAUAUGUGGUUAAAGCGACCGUGCUAAAAUCACGGAAUCGAGGAAUUCUUAACUCCUUCUCCCGGUUAACAGAAUUCCUUACCCGGUCUUCUGGUUUUGCAGACUUUAAAACGGAGUUAAUUUUCCUCGAUUUGAGAUUUAAAAUAAAUCGGUGACUUGUGACACCGUAAAUUAUUCCAAGUGGUGACUCUGAAUUAAAUAAACAAUCCCAUUUCGAUUAAUGUCACUUUAAUAGAAAAACUCCAUAUGUCCAUGUGUGUGUGUGUGUGUGUGCACGCGCGCGCUACAUCCCCUCAAAAAAUUAGUCAAAACAAUCUAUUUUACGCUACUUACAAGCACAAGUAACUUGAGUCUAAAAGAAUAAAGUAUUCUACAUGGAGGAACAAAAAAGAUGACCAACCUACAAUUUUAACUUUGAACUUGCUGUUAUGAUGGAGAAUGGAGUUCUCUCUGUAUUUGUAAACAAAAAAUGAAUAUUUAUUGCUUUUGGGAGAUAUUAGUAGACUAGCAAACAAGAUAAAGAAUUGCAAAAGAUCAUGAAUUAUGUCUUCAAUCAAUAAAAAAGGUCCUGACUUUUAAAUUAAUACAUUUCAUUUCCUUUUAAAAUUUUUUGAGUAAUUACCGAGCUGACUUUUGAGAAUUUGGGUAUUAUAUGAAGGACUUAUUCAACAAAUUUUAUUUUAAUUUGAAAAAGUUGUUGGGGCUUACACCUCACUAAAAAAUGCGCCUCAAACGCCCCAACAUACGCCUCUUAAGACUUUUUCCCCACACUAUUGCCUCGGGGCAUUUUUGGUGCGCCUCGCCCCAGGGCUAUGGAGGCAGGGAUUAGUCUCAUGCGGAUGUGGAGGCAGGGAUUGGCCUCAUGCGAAUAUGGAGGCAGGGAUUAGCCUCAUGCAGAUAUGCGUGACGGGGCUUAGUCCCACGCAAAGAACGAGUUGCAAAUAAGUGUAGCAUAUUUCUUAGAUGGAGAUAUAUAUUCGGUGUCUGAUAGCCUGAUUGGUAGUGAUCUUGUUACGUGUAUACAUAUUUGCGAAAGCUAUCGCUAUGUCAGAUGUGACUGCACUCACAGAAAAAUUGUAAGUUUUGUGAGGUGGAGGUUGGUUCGUGCCUUUGUCCGCUGGCCUUGCUUGGCUUCAUUCUGGAGGCCUCGUUUGAGUUUCCCUAGGUAACACCUGACUGUUACGAAAAAUAGAGUUUUCGCAAAUAUGGAAUUAUUUAUAAAAAAUAGAGUUAUUUUAGAAACAUAUUGAAAUAUCAAGUAGUUUUAGAUGAACUAGUGACUGUAACGUAUUUCAGAGACAUUGCAGCUUCCUCAUAUUAGAAUUUUGAGGGUCCUCCUCAAAAUUCUGCCCGAGUUUCUUAACCAGUUUCUGACUGUCUUCUGGUGACAUCAGCUAGACUUGCUCCGGAAGGACCCUCAAAAUUCUGCCCCAGUUUCUGAUCUUGGGAAAAUGGAAAUUUUAUUAUGAUAUGACCGAACCCAUAGGACUUCCUACGUAUCCCCUCUUAAAUGGAAAUCAGGUCAAGCGUAGUUCAAUUACAUCAGAUGAGGAAAUGUAAAUAGUCUAAGCAUAGUAUCUCUUGACUGCAUCUAAAUUGAUUGGUUUUGGCAAGAUUUCUAUGUCCAUUUCUGCAAAUAUGAGUGUUCCUCCUGUUAGCACCCUGUGAACCAUGUAAAGACCUUUCCGGUUGGGUGAGAACUUCCCAUUGGCUUCAUCUUGAUGUGGGAAGAUCUUCUUCAGCACCAGUUAUCCGGGAGCAAAUUGUCUUGGUUUGACCCUUUUGUUGAAAGCUCUAGACAUUCUGUUCUGAUAAAGCUGACCGUGACAUACUGCGUUCAUUCUCUUUCCGUCUAUAAAGGCCAAUUGCUCAUAGCGGCUCCCUAUCCAUUCAGCAUCACUGAGUUCAGCCUCCUAUAUGAUCCUUAAAUAAGGAAUCUCUACCUUGGCUGGGAUGACAACUUUGGUACCAUAAACCAGUAUGUUGGGAGUUGCCCCAGUUGAUGUGCGGUAUCCCAACAAAGCAAAGNNNNNNNNNNNNNNNNNNNNNNNNNUUAGCCAAUCCCCCAAAUCCAGGGAGUUCCAUCCUAUACCAAGUUUCCUCCGCUGUGGAAGAAGUGAUUGGACAAUCUUCAGAGCAUGCGUUUCUGAGUGCGAUUUGCAUGCUCCAGAUAUUCUCCUUUUGCCAAAUACUCCUUGAUGUCAUGGAACCAAGGCUUUCCAUCUAUUUCCUCUUCAACAUAGGCACAAUACACCGACUGAUUAUGAAUUCUCACAGGGAUAGGAUCAAUGAAAUUCUUGUCCGGAUGUUGUAUCAUAGAUGACAAGGUGGCCAAUGCAUCGACAAACUCAUUCUAAAUUCUGGGCACAUGCCGGAACUUUAUCUUCGUGAACCUCUUUCUCAAUCCCUGUACAUGGUGCAGAUAUGGCAAUAUCUUGGAAUUCUUGGUGGCCGACUCUUCUUGUAUCUGGUGCCCAAGCAAAUCUGAAUCACCGAUUACUAGCAGCUCCUGAAUAUUCAUGUCGAUUGCCAUGUUGAGUCCUAGUAUGCAGGCUUCAAACUCUACCAUGUUGUUGGUGCAUGGAAAUUCGAGUUUAGAAGAUACCGGAUAAUGUUGACCUGUUUCUAAUACCAAAGCUGCUCCGAUGCCCCCUCUUUUGUAAUUUGUAGCUCCGUUGAAGAACAUCCUCCAACCGUCGUAUGUUUCGGUAAUAUCCUCUCCUACGAAUGACACCUCUUCAUCAGGAAAAUACGUUUUCAAGGGUUCGUAUUCUCGUCCCACCGGAUUUUCAGCAAGAUGAUCUGCCAAUGCUUGCCCUUUGACCGCCUUUUAAGUUACAUAGACGAUAUCGAACUCACUCAACAGUAUCUGCCACUUGGCUAGAUUCCCAGUUGGCAUGGGUUUCUGAAAUAUGUACUUCAGAGGGUCCAUCCUGGAUAUGAGGUAUGCGGUAUAGGCACAGAAGUAAUGCCUCAAGUUCUAGGUCAUCCAGGUCAAAGCACAACAAGUGCGUUCCAGUAGAGAGUAUCGUGCUUCAUAAGGUGUGAACUUCUUACUCAAGUAGUAUAUGACUUGCUCCUUUCUCCCCGUCUCAUCAUGUUGUCCCAGAUCACAUCCGAAGGCUCCAUACAAUACAGAUAAAUAGAGUAGCAAAGGCCGUCUCAGCUCUGGCGGGACCAAGACCGGUGGUGUGGAUAGGUACUUCUUGAUUUUAUCAAAAGCCUUCUGACAAUCCUCGGUCCAGCUUGUCUCAGCAUCUUUCCUCAACAUCUUUAAAAUGGGUUCACAUAUGACUGUGGACUGCACUAUGAAGCGACUAGUAUAGUUGAGACGUCCUAGAAAGCUCAUUACUUACUUUUUGCUACUAGGCGGCGGUAACUCCUGAAUGUCCUUAACUUUAGACGGGUCCAGCUCGAUCCCCUAGCGACUGACAAUGAAUCCUAGUAGCUUUCUUGCAGGAACCCCGAAUGCACAGUUUGCGGAGUUCUGCUUCUAGUUGUACCUCCUUAACCUAUCAAAGAACUUUAUCAAGUCCGCUAUCUGAUCCGAGGCCCUCUUAGAUUUGAUAAUGACGUCUUUCACAUACACUUCUAUUUCUUUGUGUAUCAUAUUAUGGAAGAUGGUUGUCAUGGAUCUCAUGUAGGUAGCCCCAGAAUUCUUUAGACCAAAUGGCAUCAUCUUGUAGUAGUAUACCCCCCCAUGGUGUAAUAAAAACGGUUUUCUCUGCAUCUUCUUCGUCCAUCCAAAUCUGGGCAUAACCUACGAUGAAAUCCACAAAGGAUUGGAGUUCAUGCUUGGCACAAUUGUCGAUCAGGAUGUGUAUGUUUGGUAGUGGAAAGUCAUCCUUGGGACUAGCUCUGUUUAAAUCCUGAUAGUCAACGCAUACUCUGACUUUCCCAUCUUUCUUCGAAACUGGCACAACGUUGGCUAACCAAGUUGGGUACUCAACAACCCUAAGUACUUUGGCUUUGAUCUCCUUAGUAACUUCCUCCUUGAUUUUUAGCUCAUAUCUGGUUUGAAUUUUCAGAGUUUCUGCUUUAUUGGUGGACACAUGAGAUGGGUAGGCAAAUUGUGAGCCACUAUGGACGUGCUCAAACCGGUCAUGUCAUCUUAUGACCAUGCGAAUAUGUCCUCAUAUUUCUUUAAGAAACGAAUGUACUCCUUUUUCUCUAUCGGUGAUAAGUGAAUGCUGAUGCGAGUCUCCUUGACGGUCUCGGCGUCCCCCAAAUUUACUGCUUCGGUUUUGUUUAGGUUGGACUUAGGCUUAUUCUCAAAGUUUUCAACUUCCCUGACAACUUCCUCAAGUAUCUCAUCUUCUUCAUCUGAAUCACUAUCCUCAUGUUGCAUUGCCUCAUUACAUGUCACAGUUGGAAGAAAAUAAUGAAUAAUAAAGAGCAAUGCAUUUGAUUAAAACUGAAACAUCCAAAAAGUACGGCUCGAUGAAUUGAGCAUUUAUUUUGAAAUGAGUAAGUCUUUAAAACAAAAUUACUGAAAAUCUUAAAUGCCUAGAAUGGCUAUAGAAAUAAAUCUACCAAGCCACCUAGGGACUCGGUAGGCCCGGGAUGGUGUGGCGGUCAAUUUGCUGAGCAUGGUUCCCUUCUCCACAAUCUAAAUAGUGAGGCCUUCUUCCUCCUCUUCCUCAACUAUUGCACUGGAGUCCAUGUCUUCAUCCUCCAAGAAUAGAUUCCUAAGCCCAGCUAAUGCUUCUUCUUCUGCGGUUCCCCAUAUUGUAUCAGCUCGGUGAAAAGCUUGAUCCAGAUGUGGCACUGGUUGCUCAAGAGGGUAAUACGGUCUACGCCAUGUAGGCGACCAAUUAUUAUACUCCUUCUAUGAAUACUAGUAUCCGAGACCGAAGGUAGUACCAUAACGCUUCGGCUGUAUUGGUUUAGUAAUACCCUAGAGAUUCUUCCCAAGCCCUUUGAUGGGUUCAUACCCAGACCAUGCCAGUAUGCUUUCUAUUUUGCAACUAUACCAUUUGUCUUUCUUAAUGGCAUUGACAUGUUCAAUGUGAUGAUAGGUUUCCCCUCCUAACCCUAUUCUUUUUCCAACAACCGGGAUGGUUUGACUGGUGUAAAUGGGGUUAAUCCCAUCUCCGUGAAUGAUCACCUACUGAUGGUUCUAUUCGAAUUUCAUGGCUUGAUGUAGUGUGGCAGCCACAGCCCCAGCGACAUGUAUCCAUUGUCGGCCCAACAGAAGAUUGUAUAAGGCUGAUAUGUCGAGCACCUGGAAUUCAAUGUCGAACAAAGUUGGUCCCAUCUGUAGGCAAAGAUUGAUCUCCCUAAUCGUGGCCCUUUGAGACCCAUCGAAAGCUUUCAUGUUCAUGCUCCCUCCUCAUAUUUCAUGAAAACCUUUACCCAAUCUUUUCAGAUUAUCUAACGUACAAAUGUUAAGGCUUGAGACCCCUUCAAUCAAGACCCUGGCGAUGAAUUUAUCUUCAAAUUGCACUGUGAUAUGCAAUGCUUGGUUGUGAUUCAACCCUUCAUGCAGUAGCUCAUCUUCGUGGAAGAUUAUCUUAUGAUAUUCCAGCACAUGUCCUACCAUAUUGGCCAUCUCUCCGCAGGUGAUAUUGUUGGGUACAUAAGCUUCACUCAACACUUUCAUCAAAGCAUUCUUGUGUGCCUCUGAAUUUUGCAACAGUGAUAGGAUGGAUAUCUAAGCUGGGGUUUUGUUUAAAUGAUAAAUGAUGGAGUAUUCCCUUGCUUGUACUUUCCUCUAAAGGUCAUCUGGUCCCAUUUCAAUGACAGGGUGCUUGGUAGUGGCAUCCUUACUUAGUCCUCCCAAAUGUUCGAGUGUAUAGAUUCUUCCUGUCCUAGUCAUUUCUUGUGCAUAAUCGGAUUCCUCCAUCUUUACGCUUCCUUUUAGCCUAGCUUCAAUAAUGUAAUCCCAAGGUGUUGCUUUUGAAUUGAAAGGAGGUGUGGUUGAUACUAUCACCGUGAAAGGUGUGGCCACUUCCACUUCAAAUGGAAUGAGGGUGGUCGCAGGUGGAGCUACCUCAACCUCAAAUGGAUAUGAUGAAGUUAUCUCAACUUCGAUCGGUGACUGGGUCUGCACUACAAUAGGAGUAAGUGUGACUACAAGUUUAAAGUCAUUGCCUUCUUGAAUAAUCCCGAUUGACCCCUUAGGAUCCCAUUUUUCAUCUAUCUCUAUCACAUGUAUCCUGCCACCCCUAUGGUCCGGGAGAGGAUUGUUGCGGAAAUUGGGUGCAAGUUCUUUCGCCUGUAUAACCUUGUUGUCUAUUAAAGUCUGGAUUUUGUCUUUCAAUGUUCGGCACUCGUCAAUGGUGUGCCCUUUCAUACCGGAAUGGUAUGCAUAGGUUUUGUUUGGGUUGAUCCAUUGGGAUGGAUUCUCUAGUUCCACAGCGGGAAUAGGAGUGACGUAACCGGCGGCUUUCAACCUUUCAUACAGCUGGUAGAUGGGUUUAGCAAUAGCGGUGUAUUGUCUAGGUAGCUUGCGGUCAAGAUUGGGUCGUGGUCUUGGAUAAUUUUGGCAAGUUGGAGGUGACUGGAAAUGAGAUGGUUGGGAAUUAUAGGUAUGAUAGGCAGUGGCUGGUUGGGAGUAUCUGGGAGAUGAGGGUUGGUAUGUGGGUGAAGGCGUUUUAUAUGUGGGUGGAGAUGUUUGAUAUGUGAGUGGAGAUUUCGGGCCUUGAGCCACCAUUACUGCCCCAACAUCUCUUUUCUUUGAUAUGCUGCCUGAUUGUAAUGCCUUGUUCGUAGCUUGUAAUGCCUCAAAGUUUGUCACCAUUCCGCUCUUUAUGCCUUCUUCGAUUGUUUCUCCGAGUUUGAUGAUAUCAGAGAAUUUAUGAUUUUCAAUAACCAUCAACCUUUCAUAGUAUUGCGGAUCCUAUGCUCUAACAAAAAAUUUGUUCAUCUGCUCUUCCUCCAAAGAUGGCCUGACUUUGGCUGCUUCCGAUCUCCAAAGAGUAGCAUACUCGCGAAAGUCUCGGUGGGCUUCUUCUUAAGGUUCUGAAAGUAGAAAAAAUCUGGUGCAUUUUCUUUGUUGAACCUGAAUCGAUCCAUGAAAUCAGACGCCAUAUGCACCCAGUUGGACCAUUUCUUAGGAUCCUGACUGAUGUACCUGGACAAAACAUCUCCUAUAAGACUUCUCAUAAAGAGUUUCAUCCGGAUCCUUUCAUCCUUUCCCACCCCAACAAGCUUGUCACAAUAGGUCCUUAGAUGAACCCUGGGAUCACCUGUACCGUCAAACAUCUCGAACUUGGGUGGUUUGUACCCCUCUGGCAGUUCUACGUCUAGCUGUAUGCAUAGGUCUUCAUAAUUUAAACCUUCUAUCCCUUUGCCUCCUUCGAUACCUUAAACUCGACUUGUCAACUUCUUGAGUUCGUCAGCCAUGUUUUUUAUGAGCAGGUCCUUCUCAGCAGAUUCUGGUGUAUAGGAAGUUGGUUGGAUAGAGUAAGGUACGGUUUCUACGUAUAUAGGGUUGUUUUGGUGAGUUCUAGGAGCCUAGGUGUAGUGGUGGUCAUUGGUUAAGUUUUGAGGAUCAGGAAUGAGUUGUGGUGUGUUAUGGGGAGUGUGAUAAGUGGCGGUUGGUGGGUAUUGGAUUGGUUGAUGAUGGUGUUGCGGCGGAGUCGGUAUCGGUAAAGGAUUGAGAUUUUGAGGUGGGGUUGCAUAUUGAUGCGGUGCAGGAGGGUUUUGUGGGUGUUGGUUUGGUGUGUUUUGGGGAGUUGCUGGGUUCUUUAUGUUGAUGUCGGGGAUGUUCAGAGUGAGGCAUAAGUUUGCCAAGUUGCAGACCUGCUCAAGUUCUCCCUGUAGUUCCGGUAUCUUUUGUUCUAACCUCAGAACUAAAUGAUUUGGUGCCGGAGUACUCCAACCAUCUGAAGUUUCUGCAUUCUAAGCAUUCUCCUUUCGAAUACCACUUAAGUCGUCCAUUUUAGCUUUCCCUUUGCUCUUUGUAUUGCUUGGAGGAGGAGAAGGUAGAGGGCCUCUAGAUCUGGUGUGAUACGCUAAUGAUGCCAGUAUGAGCGAACCAACCUUAAGGGAUAGGAAUAAAGAGUGAAGAAAAACAAAAAGGUAAACAAGUCAGUAAGGAUUCUGAAAUGUUUGUAGUAUUUAAACACAUAUUACGGGAAUAUAAAUUUGUGCCCUAUUUUGGGAACCUUGUUGUGCCCGAGGUUGGCCUAGCGACAAAUAAAUUUUGAGAGAGUUAGUGCCAAUAAUUUCCUCAUUUCAUUAAUGUAAAAAUAAACGACUUAAAACAAAACUAAAUAAGAUAAUGUCACUAAUGGCACUAGGCCUUAUUACAUUUGAAAAGCAAGUAAAUCUAAUCUACUUGGUCCUAGAAGGACCCUUUCUAGACUGGAUGCUCUUGUCGAUCAACUCUCCCAGCUCGCACAGUUCAACAGUAGGGAUGCCCUUGCCAUAUGCCCUCUUUCAUUUCUCUCAGCAUUCUGGUAGUCAGUGACCCUUUAUUUAAUCUUCCCUUCCAACUCCAUUAAACUAUACUUUAGAUAUUUCAGCCUGUCACUGGAUUUAGCAGCUCUCUCUGUCCACUAGUUAAUUAUCUCCAUGUCAGCCUUAUGUUGCGCCAUCUGCUUAGCUUCAGACUCUCGAACUCUUUUCCGCAGCUUGUUGUACUUCACCUCUGCUUUAGCAACCUCGUCUAUGACCCGAUUUCCUGGACCAGCCCUAGACUCGAAGACCCCGGCUAUGUUGUCCUCCAACCACGAAGUGUAAAGGUAUGAGUGGCCCGCAUGAUAUCGGUCUGGCUCGAUAGUAUCUUUCUCCACAAUAAUCUUCAAAGUCCACAUAUUUUGUGCUUCAUUCUUACACGGGAUGGCGUCACCUUGUAAAUGUUACAUCUCGUGUUUUCGUACAUUAAAAUUUUGUUUUCAGUAAACCGACGUAGACUCGGGGAUGAGAUCAUCUUGACAUUAAUGUACUUACACUAUUUAUAAGAAGCGAUAAAUAAGUGUUAUGAAGGAUAAAGGGGUACAUGGAUUAAAGAAAACGAGUUUCAUUGAAAGUGGACACUUUCGAAUAAAAUACGAGUCAAGCGAUAAUACCCGAUAAUUAUGAACUAGUACCAUGCAAGGUACCAUAUGACCAUGAUAGUAUAAUGUAUAAAUUAUAUAUAAAGUAUAUUAAAUAUAAGUAGAAUUUUAAGUAAUUUGAGAUAAUUUUUAAAUUAUGCGGGUAAUUAGUUAAUUACCGGGUAACAGGACAUUACCCAGUUAACUAAUAAAUGGGUAAAGAUUACUAAUCUUCACUCCACUCUCCACGAGGCACAAGGCCACCAAUUUAAAAGAUGACUCAUAAAUGGUGAUUAGGUGUCUACACCUAAAGAAUAAAUAAAGUUAGCUUUAUCAAGAUAAGACUCUUAAGUCUUUAUCUCAUUGUAGGAAUUUGAACAAACCCAAAAUGUAAUAUAACAAUUUUUAGCAUCAAACAUCCCAUGAAUCAUCACU
RNAcentral lists this long non-coding RNA (27331 nucleotides) under Nicotiana tabacum (common tobacco). RNAcentral describes it as "long non-coding RNA (NTAB_LNC005780)". Lineage: Eukaryota; Viridiplantae; Streptophyta; Magnoliopsida; Solanales; Solanaceae. The record is from RNAcentral.